GACGAACGCUGGCGGCGUGCUUAACGCAUGCAAGUCGAACGGAAAGGCCCUGCUUUUGUGGGGUGCUCGAGUGGCGAACGGGUGAGUAACACGCGAGUAACCUGCCCUUGACUUUGGGAUAACUUCAGGAAACUGGGGCUAAUACCGGAUAGGAGCUCCUGCUGCAUGGUGGGGGUUGGAAAGUUUCGGCGGUUGGGGAUGGACUCGCGGCUUAUCAGCUUGUUGGUGGGGUAGUGGCUUACCAAGGCUUUGACGGGUAGCCGGCCUGAGAGGGUGACCGGCCACAUUGGGACUGAGAUACGGCCCAGACGCCUACGGGAGGCAGCAGUGGGGAAUAUUGCACAAUGGGCGGAAGCCUGAUGCAGCAACGCCGCGUGCGGGAUGACGGCCUUCGGGUUGUAAACCGCUUUCGCCUGUGACGAAGCGUGAGUGACGGUAAUGGGUAAAGAAGCACCGGCUAACUACGUG
This 468-nucleotide ribosomal RNA is filed under the name uncultured bacterium. Its description in RNAcentral is "partial 16S ribosomal RNA". It matches the Rfam family "Bacterial small subunit ribosomal RNA", at positions 28 to 507 of the family's 1533-position model. The record is from RNAcentral.